AGCAAAAUAAAAAUAAUUAAUUUAAAAAAUAAUUAUUACAUAUUAUUUUAUGUAUUAACCAAGUCAUUUAGCAAUCUUAAAACAUCCAUUGGUGAUUGAACUAAUUAAAUGUUCUUAAUUAUAUAAACUGUUCUUGAUCCCUACAUUGACAUGUUCUUUCAUUUCCUCCAAUACUCCAAUUUUUUAAAACAAUUUUCACCAUAUUAUUUUAUCACUAUAUUAAUACUCAUAACAAAAC
RNAcentral lists this long non-coding RNA (238 nucleotides) under Vitis vinifera (wine grape). RNAcentral describes it as "long non-coding RNA (VVIN_LNC003008)". The record is from RNAcentral. Lineage: Eukaryota; Viridiplantae; Streptophyta; Magnoliopsida; Vitales; Vitaceae.